ACUCCUACGGGAGGCAGCAGUCGGGAAUUUUGGGCAAUGGGGGAAACCCUGACCCAGCAACGCCGCGUGAAGGAUGAAGUAUUUCGGUAUGUAAACUUCGAAAGAAUAGGAAGAAUCAAUGACGGUACUAUUUAUAAGGUCCGGCUAACUACGUGCCAGCAGCCGCGGUAAU
RNAcentral lists this ribosomal RNA (172 nucleotides) under uncultured bacterium. RNAcentral's name for it is "partial 16S ribosomal RNA". It matches the Rfam family "Bacterial small subunit ribosomal RNA", at positions 335 to 524 of the family's 1533-position model. The record is from RNAcentral.